This 492-nucleotide ribosomal RNA is filed under the name uncultured bacterium. Its description in RNAcentral is "bacterial SSU rRNA". It matches the Rfam family "Bacterial small subunit ribosomal RNA", at positions 9 to 525 of the family's 1533-position model. The record is from RNAcentral.
GAGUUUGAUCAUGGCUCAGGACGAACGCUGGCGGUAUGCCUAACACAUGCAAGUCGAACGAGAUUAUUUUUUUGUUUACAAAGAAAUGAUUGCAGUGGCGGACGGGUGAGGAACACGUAAGAACUUACCUUUUGGCGGGGGAUAACAACGGGAAACUGUUGCUAAUACCCCAUAAUGCUGAGGAGCGAAAGGGAAACUGCCAAAAGAGAGGCUUGCGUCUGAUUAGCUAGUUGGCGGAGGUAAAUGCUCCCCAAGGCGACGAUCAGUAGCUGGUCUGAGAGGAUGAUCAGCCACACUGGGACUGAGACACAGCCCAGACUCCUACGGGAGGCAGCAGUGGGGAAUUUUCCACAAUGGGCGAAAGCCUGAUGGAGCAGUACCGCGUGAAGGAUGAAGGAUCGUGGUCCGUAAACUUCUUUUCUUAACGAAGAAAAUCUGACGGUAGUUAAGGAAUAAGCACCGGCUAACUCCGUGCCAGCCGCCGCGGUAAUC